GGACGGGUGAGUAAAGCGUAGGAAUCUACCUAUAUGUAUGGGAUAGCUUGUGGAAACGCAAGGUAAUACCGUAUAAGUUACGAGUAAUAAAGGGUGCUAUUGAGAGAUAGUAUUUGCAUAUAGAUGAGCCUACGUAAGAUUAGCUAGUUGGUGGGGUAAAGGCCUACCAAGGCGACGAUCUUUAGCUGUUCUGAGAGGAAGAUCAGCCACAUUGGGACUGAGACACGGCCCAGACUCCUACGGGAGGCAGCAGUGGGGAAUAUUGGACAAUGGGCGGAAGCCUGAUCCAGCAAUACCGCGUGUGUGAAGAAGGCCUGCGGGUUGUAAAGCACUUUCGUUAGUGAAGAAGUUAUAUGAAGAUAUAAUUGACAUAAGCUAAAGAAGAAGCACCGGCUAACUCUGUGCCAGCAGCCGCGGUAAUACAGAGGGUGCAAGCGUUAAUCGAAAUUACUGGGCGUAAAGAGUGUGUAGGUGGUGGCAUAAGUCAUAGAUUAAAUCGCAUAGCUUAACUAUGUAGAAGUAGAUGAUACUGUGUAACUAGAGUACUGAAGGGGGUAGUGGAAUUUCCGGUGUANCGGUGAAAUGCGUA
Molecule: ribosomal RNA, 589 nt
Filed under: uncultured Pseudomonadota bacterium
Lineage: Bacteria; Pseudomonadati; Pseudomonadota
Description: bacterial SSU rRNA
Rfam family: Bacterial small subunit ribosomal RNA
Source: RNAcentral